Molecule: ribosomal RNA, 541 nt
Filed under: uncultured bacterium
Lineage: Bacteria
Description: bacterial LSU rRNA
Rfam family: Bacterial large subunit ribosomal RNA
Source: RNAcentral
GGUGGAUGCCUUGGCGAUCACAGGCGAUGAAAGACGUGACAGCCUGCGAAAAGCUGCGGGGAGCUGGCAAAUGAGCAUUGAUCCGCAGAUCUCUGAAUGGGGAAACCCACCCGCGAGGGUAUCGGCUUCUGAAUCCAUAGGAAGUCGAAGCGAACCCGGGGAACUGAAACAUCUCAGUACCCGGAGGAACAGAAAUCAACCGAGAUUCCGUCAGUAGCGGCGAGCGAACGCGGAACAGCCACCAGCAUAUAGCCAUUGGGGUUAGGAGAACGGUUUGGAAAAGCCGGUCACAGAGGGUGAUAACCCCGUAUCCCAAAACCCGAUGGUGGAACUAAGGCUGGAACAAGUAAGGCGGGGCACGUGAAACCCUGUCCGAACAUGGGGGGACCAUCCUCCAAGGCUAAAUACUCGUGAUCGACCGAUAGUGAACCAGUACCGUGAGGGAAAGGCGAAAAAGAACCCCGGCGAGGGGAGUGAAAUAGAUCCUGAAACCGUGUGCGUACAAGCAGUCGGAGCCUCCUUUGUGGGGUGACGGCGUACC